This 459-nucleotide long non-coding RNA is filed under the name Mytilus galloprovincialis (Mediterranean mussel). Lineage: Eukaryota; Metazoa; Mollusca; Bivalvia; Mytilida; Mytilidae. The record is from RNAcentral.
GUGCGAACCAAACACAAAUAUUAUAAACAGCAACAAAGUCAAGCACUGAGUAGCAUAUGACCGAGCAUAAAUUAUGGCGGUGGACAAACAUGUUUACCGACUCAAAAUGCUCUCCUAAGUUUAGAAAGUGAUGCAACAGCAGUCGGUAAAAAUCAAUUUAAAAAGACAGUUGCAACAAUUCACACUAAAUAACUCGUAAGAAAUAGUCUAAGCUAGGACACAGAUUAACGAUCUGAGAUAUUAAAGCCCGGGAUGACGAAGUAUGAAAAUAAAUGAAAGACGAAAACAUUCCAAAAAGACCACACCAGACCAUAAAGCAUAAAACAGUCCAUUAAUGGCAUUGGGCUGUAACUGGUUUUUGAUCGGUUUGUUUCUUAUAAACAAAAAGACUUACACGUACAGUAUCAAGAUUGUUUUAAUUGUCCAAUGUAUUAAUGAUUCCCUAACCGAAAAUAAACG